UUCAAGUCUUUAAGAGCAAACGGUGGAUGCCUUGGCAUCUGGAGCCGAAGAAGGACGUAGCAAUCUGCGAUAAGCCUCGGGGAACUGAUAAGCGAGUUUUGAUCCGAGGGUGUCCGAAUGGGGAAACCCCGCCAGGGCGCGUGCGUACCUGGUGACUCCCGCCUGAAUAUAUAGGGCGGGUAGAGGGAACGUGGGGAAGUGAAACAUCUCAGUACCCACAGGAAGAGAAAGCAAAAGCGAUUCCGUAAGUAGUGGCGAGCGAAACCGGAAGAGGCUAAACCUAGCGUGUGUGAUAGCCGGCAGGCGUUGCAUGUUGGGGGUUGUGGGACUUUUCUGAUUGUUCUGCCGAAUGAUCGACGUGACAAGAGGGUAUAGACGAACGGUUUUGAAUGGCCGGUCAUAGAGGGUGCGAACCCCGUAGUCGAAAUGCCUGUUCUUGGCGUGAAGAGUAUCCCAAGUAGCACGGGGCCCGAGAAAUCCCGUGUGAAUCUGUCAGGACCACCUGAUAAGCCUAAAUACUCCCAGAUGACCGAUAGCGGACAAGUACCGUGAGGGAAAGGUGAAAAGUACCCCGGGAGGGGAGUGAAAUAGUACCUGAAACCGUUUGCUUACAAACCGUUGGAGCCUCCUUAGUAGGGGUGACAGCGUGCCUUUUGAAGAAUGAGCCUGCGAGUUAGCGAUACGUGGCGAGGUUAACCCGAGUGGGGUAGCCGUAGCGAAAGCGAGUCUGAAUAGGGCGAUUCAGUCGCGUGUCCUAGACCCGAAGCGAAGUGAUCUAUCCAUGGCCAGGUUGAAGCGACGGUAAGACGUCGUGGAGGACCGAACCCACUUAGGUUGAAAACUGAGGGGAUGAGCUGUGGAUAGGGGUGAAAGGCCAAUCAAACUUCGUGAUAGCUGGUUCUCUCCGAAAUGCAUUUAGGUGCAGCGUUGCGUGUUUCUUGCCGGAGGUAGAGCUACUGGAUGGCCGAUGGGCCCUACAAGGUUACUGACGUCAGCCAAACUCCGAAUGCCGGUAAGUGAGAGCGCAGCAGUGAGACUGUGGGGGAUAAGCUUCAUAGUCGAGAGGGAAACAACCCAGACCACCAACUAAGGUCCCUAAGCGCGUGCUAAGUGGGAAAGGAUGUGGAGUUGCUUUGACAACCAGGAGGUUGGCUUAGAAGCAGCCACCCUUGAAAGAGUGCGUAAUAGCUCACUGGUCAAGUGAUUCCGCGCCGACAAUGUAACGGGGCUCAAGCACGCCACCGAAGUUGUGGCAUUGACAUUUUUGGUAGGCCUUCGUGGUCCAGCCGUGUUGAUGGGUAGGAGAGCGUCGUGUGGCGAGUGAAGCGGCGGGGUGACCCAGCCGUGGACGCUACACGAGUGAGAAUGCAGGCAUGAGUAGCGAAAGACGUGUGAGAAACACGUCCUCCGAAAGACCAAGGGUUCCAGGGUCAAGCUAAUCUUCCCUGGGUAAGUCGGGACCUAAGGCGAGGCCGACAGGCGUAGUCGAUGGACAACGGGUUGAUAUUCCCGUACCGGCGAAGAACCGCCCAAGCUAAUCCAGUGGUGCUAAGAGUCCUAGCUCGGAAUGUUGUUGAUCCCUUCGGGGUGAGACGCGUCCGUGUGAACGCUCGACCCCAUGCUGGUGCGGCUAGCGUAUUAACAGGUGUGACGCAGGAAGGUAGCCCAAGCCAGGCGAUGGUAGUCCUGGUGCAAGUGCGUAGGCCGAGUGAUAGGCAAAUCCGUCACUCAUACAGGCUGAGACACGAUGCGGAUAAAAAGUGGGUGAUCCUAUGCUGCCGAGAAAAGCAUCGACGCGAGGUUCUAGCCGCCCGUACCCCAAACCGACUCAGGUGGUCAGGUAGAGAAUACCAAGGAGAUCGAGAGAAUCGUGGUUAAGGAACUCGGCAAAAUGCCCCCGUAACUUCGGGAGAAGGGGGGCCAUCCACUUAUUAGGACUUGCUCCGAAAGGGUGUGGUGGCCGCAGAGACUAGUGGGUAGCGACUGUUUACUAAAAACACAGGUCCGUGCCAAGUCGCAAGACGAUGUAUACGGACUGACGCCUGCCCGGUGCUGGAAGGUUAAGAGGACCGGUUAGCCGCAAGGCGAAGCUGAGAAUUUAAGCCCCAGUAAACGGCGGUGGUAACUAUAACCAUCCUAAGGUAGCGAAAUUCCUUGUCGGGUAAGUUCCGACCUGCACGAAUGGCGUAACGACUUCCC
This 2199-nucleotide ribosomal RNA is filed under the name Microbacterium sp. Leaf203. RNAcentral's name for it is "bacterial LSU rRNA". It matches the Rfam family "Bacterial large subunit ribosomal RNA", at positions 1 to 2013 of the family's 2925-position model. Lineage: Bacteria; Bacillati; Actinomycetota; Actinomycetes; Micrococcales; Microbacteriaceae. The record is from RNAcentral.